This 253-nucleotide ribosomal RNA is filed under the name uncultured bacterium. RNAcentral's name for it is "partial 16S ribosomal RNA". It matches the Rfam family "Bacterial small subunit ribosomal RNA", at positions 524 to 776 of the family's 1533-position model. The record is from RNAcentral.
UACAGAGGUCCCAAGCGUUGUUCGGAUUCAUUGGGCGUAAAGGGUGCGUAGGCGGCGCGGUAAGUCGGGUGUGAAAUCUCGGGGCUUAACUCCGAAACUGCAUUCGAUACUGCCGUGCUUGAGGACUGGAGAGGAGACUGGAAUUUACGGUGUAGCGGUGAAAUGCGUAGAUAUCGGGAGGAACACCGGUGGCGAAGGCGGUUCUCUGGGCCUUACCUGACGCUGAGGAGCGAAAGCGUGGGGAGCGAACAGG